RNAcentral lists this ribosomal RNA (577 nucleotides) under uncultured bacterium. RNAcentral's name for it is "partial 16S ribosomal RNA". It matches the Rfam family "Bacterial small subunit ribosomal RNA", at positions 355 to 920 of the family's 1533-position model. The record is from RNAcentral.
UGGGGAAUAUUGCACAAUGGGCGCAAGCCUGAUGCAGCCAUGCCGCGUGUGUGAAGAAGGCCUUCGGGUUGUAAAGCACUUUCAGCGAGGAGGAAGGUGGUGAGCUUAAUACGCUCAUCAAUUGACGUUACUCGCAGAAGAAGCACCGGCUAACUCCGUGCCAGCAGCCGCGGUAAUACGGAGGGUGCAAGCGUUAAUCGGAAUUACUGGGCAUAAAGCGCACGCAGGCGGUUUGUUAAGUCAGAUGUGAAAUCCCCGGGCUCAACCUGGGAACUGCAUUUGAAACUGGCAAGCUAGAGUCUCGUAGAGGGGGGUAGAAUUCCAGGUGUAGCGGUGAAAUGCGUAGAGAUCUGGAGGAAUACCGGUGGCGAAGGCGGCCCCCUGGACGAAGACUGACGCUCAGGUGCGAAAAGCGUGGGGAGCAAAACAGGAUUAGAUACCCUGGUAGUCCACGCUGUAAAACGAUGUCGAUUUUGGAGGUUGUGCCCUUGAGGCGUGGCUUCCGGAGCUAACGCGUUAAAUCGACCGCCUGGGGAGUACGGCCGCAAGGUUAAAACUCAAAUGAAUUGACGGGGUC